Molecule: transfer RNA, 107 nt
Filed under: Halogranum salarium B-1
Lineage: Archaea; Methanobacteriati; Methanobacteriota; Halobacteria; Halobacteriales; Haloferacaceae
Description: tRNA-Arg
Rfam family: tRNA
About the family: Transfer RNA (tRNA) molecules are approximately 80 nucleotides in length. Their secondary structure includes four short double-helical elements and three loops (D, anti-codon, and T loops).
Source: RNAcentral
GGGCACGUAGCUCAGUCUGGAUAGAGCGUCGGACUUCUAUCCCUGUCAGCGUCUCGCUGGGAGGGGAAGACAUCCGACGGCCGUGGGUUCAAAUCCCAUCGUGCUCG